UUCGAUCUGUCAAAAAUAAGUCUGCUUCCGAGGAGACUUAUUUUUGACAAAUCGUGAAUUAUUCGCGUCGCGGAAAACAUCGUCGCUAGAUUAUUUUUCAUAAGUUUAUCUGUUUUGCACGUUUUGCAUUACCUGGACUGAAAACCUGUUAGAAAUGGGACCAACAAACAAGAGAAAUAGCCAAAAAGUGUCGAUGACCGAGGUGGCUCACGCGAGGAGCUUGAUGUAAGCGGCAUUUGUUCAGGCUGUUUAUCCCGCUUCUAACGUUAUCGCCCGAGAUGUUCCGGCGGCGCAAGAUUUGAGUAAAUGCUGCAAAAAAGGAAGUCCCGGAUACACACAAAUAAUGCCCCGCAACCGAACAAAGAAACGUGGAACUUCGGCCGAGUCAGUAUCAAAGAAUCGUACGCAAGCCAGGCUGAUAUUUCAAACAGACAAAUUUCAAAGAUAGUGCGAACUGAAGGCUUCAACGUUUAGGAAAAUAUUUGGAGAGGUUCAUCGGAAGUGUAAAGAGAAGGCAGUUCGGGAGGAAGAGGAACAAAUAGGCAGCAAGGCCAUUAUGGAAAUCAUUUUCAUGCGUACCGCAAAGUUUAUCCAGCGAAGCUCGAAAUCGGGGUCUGGCUUCAUAGCCGUGCGGUUAGUGUCCCCAACCAUUUGGCCAAAUCGUGCAAAGGAAGUGGAUUCGAUUCCAGCCGCAUGCAGGAAAACUUUUCGUGAGGAAUGUUUCCCGACUGUGUCUGUGCAUGCUAGUCUAGUGUUGUGCUUUCUUCAAAGGGCAAAAUGCCCACUGGGAGCAUUAUUAUCGUAUGUCGAAUGUCAAUUACAGGGCUGGUAGCAAGUCUCUUCUUGAGGACUUAGUCACUAUUUUAAAAUAAAUCUAUGAAAUCUCUA
This is a long non-coding RNA of Aedes aegypti (yellow fever mosquito), 888 nucleotides long. RefSeq lists it as uncharacterized. The transcript is spliced from 2 exons. The record is from RefSeq and is a predicted model, not a curated record. Lineage: Eukaryota; Metazoa; Arthropoda; Insecta; Diptera; Culicidae.